Molecule: ribosomal RNA, 230 nt
Filed under: uncultured bacterium
Lineage: Bacteria
Description: partial 16S ribosomal RNA
Rfam family: Bacterial small subunit ribosomal RNA
Source: RNAcentral
CUCGUAGGCGGCUUAACAAGUCGGUCGUGAAAUAUCGAGGCUCAACCUCGGGGAGUCGGUCGAAACUGUUAUAGCUAGAGUACGGUAGAGGAGAGUGGAAUUCCCGGUGUAGCGGUGGAAUGCGCAGAUAUCGGGAGGAACACCAGUAGCGAAGGCGGCUCUCUGGGCCGUUACUGACGCUGAGGAGCGAAAGCGUGGGGAGCAAACAGGAUUAGAUACCCUGGUAGUCC